CAAUCGCUGGCGAGUGGUUUCAUGACCAGUUUGUCAUGCUGAUUAGUAAUGCUUAUCCUGCUAUAGGCGGUUCUACUCCCGCAGCGAUUGCC
Molecule: transfer RNA, 92 nt
Filed under: Ralstonia pseudosolanacearum
Lineage: Bacteria; Pseudomonadati; Pseudomonadota; Betaproteobacteria; Burkholderiales; Burkholderiaceae
Description: tRNA-Asp
Source: RNAcentral